UCCUCUGAGCUGUCCGCUCAGCUCCCACGCGCGCCGCAGAGUGAGGCUGGGAGCCGGAAGAUGACGUCAGUCCGCGGCGCGCGAGGGAGCUGAGCGGACAGCUCAGAGGAAGAG
Pelobates cultripes (western spadefoot toad) is the source of this 114-nucleotide non-coding RNA. NCBI's taxonomy places the organism in Eukaryota, Metazoa, Chordata, Amphibia, Anura, Pelobatidae. The record is from the annotation of a GenBank genome assembly.